Molecule: ribosomal RNA, 174 nt
Filed under: Plasmodium sp.
Lineage: Eukaryota; Apicomplexa; Aconoidasida; Haemosporida; Plasmodiidae
Description: partial small subunit ribosomal RNA
Source: RNAcentral
AGCUAAUACUUGCUUUAGCGCUCUUGACUUCGCGUCUUGAGUGUGUACUUGUUAAGCCUUAUAAGAAAAAAGUUAUUAACUUAAGGAAUUAUAACAAAGAAGUAACACGUAAUGGAUUCAUCCAUUUUUAGUGUGUAUCAAUCGAGUUUCUGACCUAUCAGCUUUUGAUGUUAG